RNAcentral lists this ribosomal RNA (401 nucleotides) under uncultured bacterium. RNAcentral's name for it is "partial 16S ribosomal RNA". It matches the Rfam family "Archaeal small subunit ribosomal RNA", at positions 473 to 873 of the family's 1478-position model. The record is from RNAcentral.
ACACCGGCAGCUCUAGUGGUAGCUGUUUUUAUUGGGCCUAAAGCGUUCGUAGCCGGUUUGAUAAGUCACUGGUGAAAUCCUGUAGCUUAACUGUGGGAAUUGCUGGUGAUACUGUUGAACUUGAGGUCGGGAGAGGUUAGCGGUACUCCCAGGGUAGAGGUGAAAUUCUGUAAUCCUGGGAGGACCACCUGUGGCGAAGGCGGCUAACUGGAACGAACCUGACGGUGAGGGACGAAAGCUAGGGGCGCGAACCGGAUUAGAUACCCGGGUAGUCCUAACUGUAAACGAUGCGGACUUUGUGUUGGGGUGGCUUUGAGCUGCUCCAGUGCCGAAGGGAAGCUGUUAAGUCCGCCGCCUGGGAAGUACGGUCGCAAGACUGAAACUUAAAGGAAUUGACGGGG